CAAGGCACUGCAGCUCCUUCUAGAAGCCCUGCUGUUUCUCUACACACUUGGACCUUAUCUGAUACCUAUUCCUUCUAGAUGUGACACAGACCAGGAAGAAACAGGCCCCCGCCAGCAUCGACAGGAACAGAAAGAGUCCCACAGCAAUCACGAUGAUUUGCUGGAGUUUUGUGGCGGCU
Prionailurus viverrinus (fishing cat) is the source of this 179-nucleotide long non-coding RNA. RefSeq lists it as uncharacterized. The transcript is spliced from 2 exons. The record is from RefSeq and is a predicted model, not a curated record. Lineage: Eukaryota; Metazoa; Chordata; Mammalia; Carnivora; Felidae.